This 497-nucleotide ribosomal RNA is filed under the name uncultured bacterium. RNAcentral describes it as "partial 16S ribosomal RNA". It matches the Rfam family "Bacterial small subunit ribosomal RNA", at positions 28 to 507 of the family's 1533-position model. The record is from RNAcentral.
GAUGAACGCUGGCGGCGUGCCUAAUACAUGCAAGUCGAGCGAACAGACGAGGAGCUUGCUCCUCUGACGUUAGCGGCGGACGGGUGAGUAACACGUGGAUAACCUACCUAUAAGACUGGGAUAACUUCGGGAAACCGGAGCUAAUACCGGAUAAUAUAUUGAACCGCAUGGUUCAAUAGUUAAAGACGGUUUUGCUGUCACUUAUAGAUGGAUCCGCGCCGCAUUAGCUAGUUGGUAAGGUAACGGCUUACCAAGGCAACGAUGCGUAGCCGACCUGAGAGGGUGAUCGGCCACACUGGAACUGAGACACGGUCCAGACUCCUACGGGAGGCAGCAGUAGGGAAUAUUCCGCAAUGGGUGAAAGCCUGACGGAGCAACGCCGCGUGAGUGAUGAAGGUCUUCGGAUCGUAAAACUCUGUUAUUAGGGAAGAACAAAUGUGUAAGUAACUAUGCACGUCUUGACGGUACCUAAUCAGAAAGCCACGGCUAACUACGUG